AUUGAACGCUGGCGGAAUGCUUUACACAUGCAAGUCGAACGGCAGCACGGACUUCGGUCUGGUGGCGAGUGGCGAACGGGUGAGUAAUGUAUCGGAACGUGCCCAGUCGUGGGGGAUAACGUAGUGAAAAUUACGCUAAUACCGCAUACGAUCUAUGGAUGAAAGCGGGGGAUCGCAAGACCUCGCGCGAUUGGAGCGGCCGAUAUCAGAUUAGGUAGUUGGUGGGGUAAAGGCCCACCAAGCCAACGAUCUGUAGCUGGUAUGAGAGGACGACCAGCCACACUGAAACGGAGACACGGUCCAGACUCCUACGGGAGGCAGCAGUGGGGAAUUUUGGACAAUGGGCGAAAGCCUGAUCCAGCCAUUCCGCGUGCAGGAUGAAGGCCCUCGGGUUGUAAACUGCUUUUGUACAGAACGAAAAGGUUUCUACUAGUACUAGGAGCUCAUGACGGUACUGUAAGAAUAAGCACCGGCUAACUACGUGCCAGCCGCCGCGGUAA
Molecule: ribosomal RNA, 500 nt
Filed under: uncultured bacterium
Lineage: Bacteria
Description: partial 16S ribosomal RNA
Rfam family: Bacterial small subunit ribosomal RNA
Source: RNAcentral